Molecule: long non-coding RNA, 1220 nt
Organism: Syngnathus typhle (broad-nosed pipefish)
Lineage: Eukaryota; Metazoa; Chordata; Actinopteri; Syngnathiformes; Syngnathidae
Exons: 2
Source: RefSeq, a predicted model, not a curated record
UGUUUCUCCAGUCGAGCUAGCAAAAAUGAGUAAAAAUUUAUUUUGAAAAAUGUAAAAAAUGUGGCGAUUCUCUCCCAAUUCCAUCCGUCGGUGCAAUUGUGUCUCUUGACACUCAGCUCGACAUCGGCGGAAGCGAGUUUUGUGGCGAUCUGGACUUUGAAGCAGGGACAUUAAAGGCGCUCGGUCUGCUCCGUCCUGAAGCGAGAGCGGGGGCGUCCGGGCCAGGCUGGCGGCCAACCCAGCUCGACCGGCCGUGCCUUCCUUUCUUCGGGCGAACGUUCGAUCGCUGGGCAUCAACAUGCCUGCUGAGAUCUAUGAAACGGACAGUGCGUAACUGCUGUGCAUCUGGAGCGGCUAGCGUGCUAUCGGGCGGACCGGGCCAUUGUACGAGGGGGAACAUCGCGAGGAGGUGGACUGCGUGUCUACAUCCGUGACGAAUGGUGCCGGGACUCUGUGGUGGGAUGCAAGCACUGCUCGCCUCUGGCGAAGUUUGUGAUCUUCAGGCUUUUGGCGUCCUGAACUCUCUCCCCCAUUGUUUACUUGAAUUGACAAUAAAGCUGACUCUGACUCUGACUCAAGUCAAGACGCUCGUCUCGGUCACGUGACGUCACCUCAGUCGAGCCCGCGAAGCAAACAAAUAUGAUCAAGAAAUAGAGAUGUUUGGAGAAAAAGCCCAAUGAGGAGACGGAAGAAGAAGAGGCUACGACUUCGACGAAAGAGUCCUACUGCAAAUAUGGAUUUAUCGCCGCCACAGGUGGCUCUGACACGACCAAGCAUCCUGUAUUUAAAGACAAACCAUAACCACUUGGGGUGUCAUUGUCUCCGAUAACGCUGGCUCGUUUCUGAGAAACAAGCUCAGUGCUCCCACUACUGAUUCACAAUUUGGUUUUGUCUGAUAUCAGAGAUUAAAUAAAGAAAACCAACUGGCUGAUUGAUUUGUUUUAAUUGAGAGGAAAAAAAAACAGCAAAAGCAUUUCACUAGCUGACCAGGAGAUGGCGACAGCGUGGCAUCUGAAGACCAUGGAUUGUUUGUUCUGCUAUAGCCUAGGUGACUGAUUCACAAUUUGGUUUUGUCUGAUAAUAGAUAUUAAAUAAAGAAAACCAACUGGCUAAUUGAUUUGUUUUAAUUGAGAGAAAAAAAAACAUCAGCAAAAGCAUUUCACUAACUGACCAGGAGAUGGCGACAGCGCGGCAUCUGAAGACCAUGGAUCGUUCUGCUA